GCCCAGAUUGCUCAGUCAGUAGAGCAUAAGACUUUUAAUCUAAUGGUCCAGUGUUCAAUUCCUUGUUUGGGCG
RNAcentral lists this transfer RNA (73 nucleotides) under Danionella translucida. It matches the Rfam family "tRNA". Rfam says of the family: Transfer RNA (tRNA) molecules are approximately 80 nucleotides in length. Their secondary structure includes four short double-helical elements and three loops (D, anti-codon, and T loops). RNAcentral also lists the same sequence under 1 other name. The record is from Rfam by way of RNAcentral. Lineage: Eukaryota; Metazoa; Chordata; Actinopteri; Cypriniformes; Danionidae.